AGCAGCCGCGGUAAUUCCAGCUCCAAUAGCGUAUAUUAAAGUUGUUGCAGUUAAAAAGCUCGUAGUUGAAUUUCGGGAUUAGUGCGCCGGUCGUGCCUUCGGUAUGUACUGGUGUUACUGGUUCCUACCUUCUGACGAACCGUCAUGUCAUUAAUUUGGUGUGGCGGGGAAUCAGGACUGUUACUUUGAAAAAAUUAGAGUGUUUAAAGCAGGCUCGCGCUUGAAUACAUUAGCAUGGAAUAAUGAAAUAGGACGUUCGAUCCUAUUUUGUUGGUUUCUAGGAUUGACGUAAUGAUUAAUAGGGAUAGUUGGGGGCAUUAGUAUUCAAUUGUCAGAGGUGAAAUUCUUGGAUUUAUUGAAGACUAACUACUGCGAAAGCAUUUGCCAAGGAUGUUUUCAUUAAUCAAGAACGAAAGUUAGGGGAUCGAAGACGAUCAGAUACCGUCGUAGUCUUAACCAUAAACUAUGCCGACUAGGGAUCGGAUGAUGUUAUUUUUAA
Molecule: ribosomal RNA, 499 nt
Filed under: uncultured Glomus
Lineage: Eukaryota; Fungi; Glomeromycota; Glomeromycetes; Glomerales; Glomeraceae
Description: SSU rRNA
Rfam family: Eukaryotic small subunit ribosomal RNA
Source: RNAcentral